UUAGCUUAUAUUUACAUACUGCCAAUAUUUAAGUUUAUUAACGUCAAAUCUUCUCUUCCUUAGACCUUCGUUCUUUUAAAUCUGCUACAGCAAGAAUUUCAGCAGAAAACCGGCUAGCUAAAAAGUGUACCAGUUGUCUAGAAAAUUAUAUGGAGAACAAACAGCGAACAAAAAAGCCCAUUUAGAUGCAAACAACUUCCAAAAUGAAAAUUUCCACAACAAUGGCGGCGAUCAUAGAGGAAAUUUGGAUAGCAAAGUAAGCCACCAUAAAGGACAUCACAAGUCAGGUUUUGAAAACCAUUACCACAAAGACGAAAGUGGUAGUAAUUCUAGUUAUUUUGAUGAUGGAGAUGACCAGGGGGAUACUCAUGAGCAAAAAAAGUAUAAAGAAUCCUUUGGUGAUGCAGCUCAAAAUCAACAUGGCGGAGGAAAAUAUGAUAGUGCUGAUUAUGAGAAUGAACAAGCACGAAGAGGCUUAUAUGAUAACUCUGGAAAAUAUGAAAAAGAUUAUGGCAAUAAAAGAAAAUAUAAUAGAAAUGAUUAUUAUGAUGGAAAAGAGGAUCUAGAUAGGCGAAAUUUAGGAAACACCUAUGAAGGUGGUUCACAAUAUGCCGAAGAAAGGUAUGCGCAAAGACCACGUCCAAUUUAUCACUCGCAACCCCUUCCUUACCACCGACGACCAAACCACCACAUCACAAUUUAUGAAGAUCCAAGAUAUGUGCAUUCGGAUCCACGAUUUAGGCGAUCAGAAGAUUAUGUGGACGAUUAUGUAGAGCUUGAAGUUAGAAGAGAUGCGUUUAGACGACCAUAUAAUGAAGAUUAUUAUUUUUAGUUAGAAGAAUAUUGUCAUAAUGUACGAGUGAUUUGGUUAUUGUUUAAGUAUUUAUUUAUUGCACGUAAUUUAUUAUUUGUAUGUCAUAAAAGUAGCGCCGUAUACAAGCACUGAAAAAAAAUUUUUUUUGGAAUAUAUUUAUCUCAACAACUAAAUAA
Molecule: unclassified non-coding RNA, 990 nt
Filed under: Anthonomus grandis grandis
Lineage: Eukaryota; Metazoa; Arthropoda; Insecta; Coleoptera; Curculionidae
Description: probable serine/threonine-protein kinase fhkB
Source: RNAcentral